GCCUCCCUCUGAAUUACAAUACAGCCUCUCAGCUGCUCUAGGAGGAACGUAAGGACUUACCUAACCCAGGUGUGACCAAUCAACAUUUAAAAGCUCUCCCUCACACUAUGCUGCCCCUUGGAAGGGAGGUUUUUCCAGCCUGCCUUUCUGAGACCAAUUCUUCACGUUUGGCAGAGCCAGUCAUCUGCACCUUCGGCACCUUGCUUCCUAACCACCUGUUGUGUUUUCUGGUGGUCUAGCUGCAGUAAAAUCCAGGCUUUGCUGGCUUUUGUAUGGACUUCCUAGUGGGUUUCAAGAUCACUUCAGCAGUGGAGGACGGUAUUAUAUCCCAUUUUACAGAAGACGAAAGCAGGGUACAGGAAAGCAAAGCAUUUUCCCCCAAAGUCAUCUAUUAAGAAAGAGACAAAGCUGGAAUGACCAGGCUUGAGACCAUGAAGAAAUGCUAGAAAAUGUAACAUGAGCACGCCGAGAAAGAUUCUGCUGGCCUGUGAUAAAGCAGGCUGUUUGUGGUGGGUGCUACAGGUGCAACUCUCUCUUUUACAUCAAAUGCUGAAAGUAUUCUAGGGGCCUGGUUAACAAAGAAAACUGCUCAAACCAGCCCUCAUCUCUCAAAAUACUGGAUUAUAGUGAAAGGCAGAAAAGGGAAGUGAAUAAUCCAGCAGGGGAGACUUUCCUCAGCUUCUGGGAUGGCUUAGUCUCAUAAGCAACCACAGAAAAGGACUUCAGUAUUUUAAGUUACAUUUAUUGGCUUUUAAUGCUUAAGUGCCCAACUUAGUUCUCCUGAAAACUUUACUUUUGGUCUAAUAGAAAAAAAUGAUAGAAGGCUUAAUUCCAUUGUUUGCUUCUUAUUGAAUGUAGUUGCUCCAUUUAAUAGCCUGGACUGUUGCCAUCAUACUAUUAUAUACACAUGUGCACUCCUAGGCAGGAAAAACAAACAGUUACUGUACCAGUUCAAUCAGAUUAAAGGUUCCUCAUGUAAGAGCUGAAUACCAAAAAACAGAUUGGUGUGUUAGAUUUCUGUUGUGUCCUGUUUGAUUUUUACAUGUAUAAUAAACAUCACUUAAUUUUUCUACCCAACA
Molecule: long non-coding RNA, 1079 nt
Organism: Anas platyrhynchos (mallard)
Lineage: Eukaryota; Metazoa; Chordata; Aves; Anseriformes; Anatidae
Source: RefSeq, a predicted model, not a curated record